GAACGAACGCUGGCGGCGUGGAUAAGACAUGCAAGUCGAACGAGAACUACGAAUAGCUUGCUAAUUGUAGUUCUAGUGGCGGACGGGUGCGUAACACGUGAGCAACCUGCCCUAAAGUGGGGGAUAGUCCUUCGAAAGGAGGUUUAAUACAUACCGCAUGUGGUCUUCGGAUCAAAGACGGCUUCGGCUGUCGCUUUGGGAUGGGCUCGCGGCCUAUCAGCUUGUUGGUGAGGUAAUGGCUCACCAAGGCUACGACGGGUACCUGGUCUGAGAGGACGAUCAGGCACACUGGAACUGAGACACGGUCCAGACACCUACGGGUGGCAGCAGUCGAGAAUCAUUCACAAUGGGGGAAACCCUGAUGGUGCAACGCCGCGUGGAGGAUGACGGUCUUCGGAUUGUAAACUCCUGUCAUCUGGGAGUAAGGCUUAUCGGUUAAUAACCGGUAAGAUUGAUAGUAUCUGAAGAGGAAGGGACGGCUAACUUCGUGCCAGCAGCCGCGGUAAUACGAAGGUCCCCAGCGUUGUUCGGAAUUACUGGGCGUAAAGGGUGCGUAGGCGGCGUGGCAAGUCAGAUGUGAAAUACCGGGGCUCAACCCCGGAACGGCAUCCGAUACUGCCAUGCUGGAGUAGUGGAGAGGAGUCUGGAAUUCACGGUGUAGCAGUGAAAUGCGUAGAGAUCGUGAGGAACACUAGUGGCGAAGGCGAGACUCUGGACACUUACUGACGCUGAGGCACGAAGGCCAGGGUAGCGAAAGGGAUUAGAUACCCCUGUAGUCCUGGCAGUAAACGGUGCACGUUUGGUGUGGGGAGAUUCGACCCUCCCUGUGCCGGAGCUAACGCGUUAAACGUGCCGCCUGGGGAGUACGGCCGCAAGGCUAAAACUCAAAGAAAUUGACGGGGACCCGCACAAGCGGUGGAGUAUGUGGCUUAAUUCGAUGCAACGCGAAGAACCUUACCUGGGCUUGACAUGCAUCGCUAAACCGGUGAAAGCCGGGGAGCGGAGCCGGAUGAUGCACAGGUGCUGCAUGGCCGUCGUCAGCUCGUGUCGUGAGAUGUUUGGUUAAGUCCAGCAACGAGCGCAACCCCUGUGAACUGUUGCCAGCGGAUAAUGCCGGGGACUCUGUUCAGACUGCCCAGAUCAACUGGGAGGAAGGUGGGGACGACGUCAGGUCAGUAUGGCCCUUACGCCUAGGGCUGCACACGUACUACAAUGCCCAGCACAAUGAGAACCAAGACCGCGAGGUGGAGGAAAUCUAUAAAACUGGGCCCAGUUCGGAUUGGAGGCUGCAACUCGCCUCCAUGAAGUCGGAAUCGCUAGUAAUGCCGUAUUAGUUACGACGGCGUGAAUACGUUCCCGGGUCUUGUACACACCGCCCGUCACAUCAUGGAAGCCGGUCGCACCCGAAGUAUCUGCGCUAACUCCGCAGUAAGAGGCAGUGUUCUAAGGUAAGGCUGGUAACUGGGAUG
Molecule: ribosomal RNA, 1469 nt
Filed under: uncultured prokaryote
Description: partial 16S ribosomal RNA
Rfam family: Bacterial small subunit ribosomal RNA
Source: RNAcentral